RNAcentral lists this unclassified non-coding RNA (5892 nucleotides) under Neodiprion pinetum (white pine sawfly). RNAcentral's name for it is "retinal-specific phospholipid-transporting ATPase ABCA4-like, transcript variant X4". The record is from RNAcentral. Lineage: Eukaryota; Metazoa; Arthropoda; Insecta; Hymenoptera; Diprionidae.
AGGGUGAUCAGGGUGUACGUUAUGCUACACCAGUGUUCUGCAUCCGUCAUUGCUAUUUAUAUGGUGCACGAUAAAAUUCCACACAAUCUUCAAUCGCAGUUAGUCAGAAGCAAUUGACGUCCAUGGAGGCCUGCGGUUUCAACGCAGCUUUAUCUUUUUUCUUCCGGAUUGACGUUAAACGGGGAGUACCCGGGGACUUUCCUUUUGAAUUACACAGCAUAGAAGCGCGAGUCCAUUCGACUGUGGAUAAACAUGCAUUGCGGACACGGGUGUCCGAUCCUUGUUGCUGGUAGCUACGUGUAAAUCAUUUUAUCGUGGGCGUGUAUUGGAAACAAACUGAUUUUACUAAGCCAUCGGAUUGUGGGGAACUAACUAUAAGUGUGCAUUAACAAUUAUCGCAAUAAUUUUGCGAAAUUUCUACCCUUUAGACUGAUGGAUACUCAAAAACCAAUAUGCCCUGUGAUUCGGACCGUUAUACCAUCUCUGGUUAUACGACGCUUCGCAGAUGCCUGAGUGUAACGAUGACCUCUUUUCAGUCUUCAAAUCAUUGAAAAAUUGAAAUUAAAGAAAACAACUUUCUUACGAACCAGAAUAUCAUCAUUCAUGUGAAUAGAUAUAAGGUACUAGAUUUGAAUAAAAGGCUUGAAAAAGUUAUUGAAAUUGUCAAGUUCAGAAGAAAGAAAAAUGGGUAUUUCACUGCUAAACAAUUUUUGCACAAGACUGAAACAUUCGGGAUUUCUCAUAUACAAAAAUAUCAUAGUUCGCAAACGGCACUUAAUUGGAACUCUUAUUGAGAUUUUAUUACCGGCAUGCAUUGUUGCGACAAUCCUUGCAGUCAGAUCUAACUUAGAUGUCGAACCUAUACAUGUUCGUAACAGCACAUACUAUGAAAUGCGAACAAGUAGUGAGGUGGUACGGGAUACCUCACGAUCUCGUGUCCGUCUGUAUUACAAACCACAAACUGAGCUGACGAAAAAUCUCAUGAGAAAUGUGACAGAAUGUAUGGGCAUAUUACCAAGUCAACUCUCUGGCUUCAAUUCGGAAGAAGUCAUGCUGCACCAUUAUGAGACACAGCAAGCAACGGAUUCAUUAGUUAAAGUCCUUGCAAUUGAUUUUGAUGAUAUGGAUGACUUCUCUGAUCCAAAAAAACUGAUCUACACUAUUCGAUCAUCACAGAAAAUUCCAGAUAAAUUACUUGAUGUUGAUAUCGAAGGCAUAAGUACAGCAUCGGAUCACUUACUUGACGAGAUUCCCGUUGUUGGUUUCCAGAUUUGUUUGGACAAUGCAUUUAUUGAAAGUAAAGCUCGCGAUGGUGCAAUUAAACCAAUGGUUUCACUCCAAAAAAUGCCAUUUCCACCAUAUGAUAAAGUUAAUGCCAAUGAACUUCAAAUACAGAAUGUGAUUUGUAGAAUUGGUGGACUUAUUUUCCUUGCAACAAUCUACCUGAUACCAACAUAUAUCAGUGCAGAAAAAUCCACUGGUGUAAAUACUCUACUGAAAAUAAAUGGAAUAAAAUCAUAUCAAAAUUUUCUAAGCUGGAUAGCAUGUGGCAUGGUUUUUAGCAUCAUCAUUGUUUCUUCAAUUACCACAAUUGUGAAAUUGAAUUUUCGAUCUGACCAAAAACCGUUUUACUAUCACACUGACUGCUGCAUAAUUUGGCUAACACUUUUCAUCAACCUUACUGCAAUUUAUGCCUUCUGUCUCCACCUGGCUACGUACUUCUCAAAAACAUGGCUUGCACAACUAGUGGCAACAACGGUGUCUCUAAUUAUAAACAUAACUGCAACCCAGUUUGAAAACUAUGAUAAAUCUACUUUUUUACCAUGGAUUGGAUUUCUUUGCCCAACUACGGCUACUAUGAGGAUAUUUGAUGAGCUUAAUAGGCGUGAAAAUCAACGUGUUGGAGCACAAUGGAGUAACGUUCUUGAGACAACGCAUCCAGCAUUGAAUUAUUGGGGUAGUCUUGGCUUCAUAAUGUUAUCGAACUUUAUGGGAAUAGUUUUCCAUUUCAUCCUCGCUGUAUAUCUGGAUGCUGUACUACCGAGCAAAUAUGGUAUCAAUGAGACUCCGUUAUUCUUCAUCAAGUAUUUUAAGAAGAACAAGGUGUGCAGCUCUUCUGAAAGUACACGUAUGCUUAAUCCAGUUCUAGAACCAGAAAUAUAUGAACAUGUUGCUGAUAAUAGCUUGUAUCCUGGGGUAAAACUGACACAGUUGGUGAAACGAUUUAUACGUGGAAUUAUCAAACGAAAUACAAUCAAAGCAGUUCAAGGACUCAGUUUGGAAUUUUACAAGGGGCAGAUCACUGCUUUGCUGGGUCACAAUGGUGCUGGAAAAAGUACAACAUUUGCAGUCUUGACUGGUUUGACAUCACCCUCAUCGGGAAGUGUGGAAAUUAAUGGCAAAGAUAUAACUGCGGAUAUUGAUGGGAUCAGAAGUGAUUUGGGCGUAUGUCUUCAAGAAAAUACCAUGUUCCCAGAUUUAACUGUAGUCGAACAGCUCCGAAUAGUUGGUUUGCUGAAGCAAAAAGACCGAACCAGAAAAGAGUUGAUGGCAGAAAUCGACGAAUUAUUGAAAAAGAUGGAUAUGGAAGAGAAACGAGAUGUUAUGCCAGACGAACUCUCCGGUGGUCAGAAAAGACGACUAUGCCUAGCUAUGGCACUUAUUGGCAAUGCUUCUACUAUAUUCUUAGAUGAACCAACAUCGGGUAUGGAUCCAGAAACACAGAGAGGGACAUGGGACACUAUAUUGAAAUACCGUGAUCAAAAAACGAUUAUAAUUACGACACACAGUAUGGAGGAAGCUGACGUUCUGGGUGAUCGAAUUGCAAUCAUGGAUUCAGGAAAACUGAAGUGUUAUGGUUCACCGAUGUACCUUAAAAAAUGCUAUGGGCACAAUCAUCAUGAAAUAACGCUGUCAACAACAUCAAAUUACGACAUAGACAAAAUUCGAGAGCUGGUUGGUAGCGAUGCAUCGAUAAAUGUGACUCAGCACGGCAGAAUUGUUAUAAACCUUCCAUUUACCAGCUCUUUACCGGAAAUUUUGGACAGUAUGGAAAAUCAAAAAGCAAAGUUGGGAAUUACUGGUCUCAGUGUGUCAAUAAUAACUUUGGAACAAGUUUUCUUAAGGGCUGCCGAUAAUGAAGAAAUAGCAAAUAAGUCGGAAGAUAAUGUUGAUGGGAAAGUAGCACAAGAUUUAAGAGGGUACGAAUAUUUGACAGGUUGGGACCUUACUUGGCAAAUGAUUUACGCGUUGUUAGCAAAGAAAAUGACCUAUUUCAAAGCUAACAAGGGUGUGAGUCUAGCACUCGUGUGUGGAACUCUGAUAGCGAUAUUAUUGCCGCUUGUUUUCAACCCAGCUGAUUAUGGGAAAAAACAAAAUUUACGGAUCGAGCUUCGAACAUAUAAAAGUCCAGAAGUGAUGAUACACUCCGGAGAUGAAACUUUAGGGAAUAUGUAUAAGAAGAUAAUUGAAAACCAGGGUGCUAAAAUCGAUGUCACUGAAGCUGGAGUCUCUCUGAGCAAAGGGUUACUAUCCAGAGCUCUAAAAGAUAUGACAUACUAUAAAACUCGAAUGAUUGUCUCAGCUGAAUUUAACUCAAGUGUGUCAGUAAAUGGUUUAUAUUCUGGCGGAGCGACAUUAAGUGCUCCAAUAGUCUUGAAUACCAUGUCAAAUUUACUGUUGAAGAUAGUGGCGGGCGAUCAAUAUUCAAUCGAUGCAAGUAUCGGCCAAUUGCCUCGAUCGUUAGUGCAAGAUGCACAGAAGAGAAUGGAGAAUAAAGUUGAAAUGCUAAUGAGAAACAUUUUAUUCAUGGCAAUAUUUGUUCACGUUGUUGCUUUGUUCGUCAUACAUCCGCUACUUGAGAAUAGCACAAGAUUUAAACAGUUACAGCAGAUGGCUGGUGUUUCGCCUUUUACAUACUGGGGAACAAUGUUUCUGGUUGAUUAUGGAUUUUAUAUAUUAGUGUCAUUAUUCGCCGUUUUUGGUAUUGUUUGUAGGGAUUUUUUCGAUCACUUGUCAGCUGUAUUUUUCUCAGAAUGUGGAGGGGUUUUACUUCUGUUAUUUCUGCUUUUUGGUAUCAAUGCUUUACUCUUGGCUUACAUACAUAGUUUCAUGAAGAAACGAUUCCAUGUUGUGUAUUCAAUUUUGAGUGGAAUACCAUUAUUAAUAGUAUUUAUCAUUGUUCCACUACAUGAAGUGUUAUCCUACAUGGAUAAUGUUAAAUGGGCAAAUGUAAUUCAGCGCAGAAUGUUUUCUUUGGCACCUGUCAUCAGUUUUGUUUUUGGAUGUAUGAAGUGGGAAGAAAUAGCAUUCAAAAAUGCAAGGUGCCGAGCAAUGCCUAAACUUUCAACUGCCAUUGCUUGUGAUACUAAUGACUACUGUUGUGCACUGAAGUGUUCUGAUGGAUAUUGCGAAAAUCCGUUACCAUUUUUGGGUGAUUUUAGUGAACAAGGCGGAAUCAAAGAGUAUAUUGUGUAUUUAUUAUUCACCCCGAUUAUUCUGGUGGGCAUCCUUUAUUUACUAGAGCAGCAGACGUUUGCAAAAUUGCGAUCAAAAUUCCAAGUAACGAACCACCACUCAAAGCGUUAUUCUGAUGAAACAAUAGACAGGAAAGUCGAAGAAGAAAAAAGAAUCGUAUGCCAAGAAAUUAAUAACAUUAACAGAGGGUCAUCUGAAUUUAAUUCUGAGAUCAAGAAUGUCUUUCUGGCAUCUGGACUGAGCAAACAUUACGGAAAAGUGGAAGCUGUCAAAGAAGUUAGUUUCAGAGUAUUGAGGAACGAGUGUUUCGGAUUGUUAGGUGUGAAUGGUGCUGGGAAAAGUUCUACUUUCCGAAUGUUAGUUGGUGAAGAAAUCCCGAAUAGUGGUAUUCUUUACCGUGGUCGCUACAGCAGUAAUUCCGAUCGAACCAAGUAUUUGGCUGGAAUGGGCUAUUGUCCUCAAACUGAUGCCUUGAUUCCAUGUCUUAAUGCAGUGGAACAGUUGACCCUUUUUGCCCGUCUGAGAGGCAUCCCAAAACAUGAGGUGGCGUCAGAGGUUUACUCGUGGAUUAACAAGCUGCAAUUGACCAAACAUGCAACAAAACCAAGUGGGGAUUAUAGUGGUGGAAAUAAACGGCGCUUAAAUAUUGCAAUUGCACUAAUUGCAAAUCCUGAACUGGUUUUGUUGGAUGAGCCAACGACUGGUGUCGAUCCAGCCGCCAAAAGAUUAGUAUGGACUGUUCUUCAAAAUUGCCAAGCAUCUGGCCAAGCCAUCAUACUUACGUCCCACAGUAUGGCGGAAUGCGAAGUUCUGUGUAAUCGUUUAGUGAUAAUGGCGAAAGGUCAACUAGUAUGUGUCGGAGCUAGUCAGGAGUUGAAAGAACGUUUUGUAGCAGGCUUCAAUAUCACAAUCAAACUGGAUCCGCGACGAACCGAACACAAUUGCACGAGAAUUAAGAAAAAAAUAGAAACGAAUUUCAUCUGUCGAUUAAUAGAUGAGCACCCUGGAUACUUAUUCUACCAUGUGACUGACCCGCAAGCGACUUGGGUGAAGAUGUUUGGGACAAUGAACGAUAUCCAAUCGGUACACCAAUGUGUCGAAGAUUUCACUGUAUCUACGUCUACGUUGGAACAACUGUUUAUGCAGUUUGCCAGGCCUACAGACUCUACGACGCAAUAUCACAUACAAUCGGAAACUGCAGCCGAAGAAAGUUGUGUCUAAGCUUAUUUCAUUUGAUUUGAAGUGACUGUGGGAUUGCAGGAACUGCGAGGAUGACUUCGAGGAAAGUAUUCAAGGGACCUAACAUGACAGCUUGACCUUGAGUCUCUCGCCGGCGGCCUUUGUCGGAGGCUUUCACCCUCAUUGAGUUGAAACUGUCAUCAGCAACGAGGGUGGCCUGCGGUGGCGCAUGCCUAG